UUUGUGCCACCUGCCUCCUGUGUUGCCUUUUUUCUGUCACGUUGAGAUGUUUUCUCUCUCUUCAUCUCUUCUCUUCUUUACACAAAGUCUAAGCAUUUUUUGUUUUUUGUUUCUCUUCUCAUCUUCAUUCUAUUUUUAUUUUUUUUUACGAUUUUGGUUUGGCUUUGAGGAUGGGUUGGGUAGCCAUGCUUUAUCUCGCCGUCGUUCCUGCACUCAACCGAGUUUCCCUUUCUGUGCUUGGCUUUAGACUAUAAAUUUAGCCUCCGAGUUUAAUUUGGGGUUUGGUUUGGUUUCAACGAUUAUCUAAUCAAGCUUCUCCUAAUCGGCGACUUUUCCGUUGAAAAUCUUGCUUGCUUCUCAGAUUCGCUGUGAGUCAUCACUUUAUUUGCUUCUCCUAAUCUCUCUUUUUGUUCACUUCCUUUGUUUCUUCAUUUCGUUUCAGGAUGACUCCUAGGUCGACAGCUACAAAAUCAGAAUCGUGGAGCUGGAAGGGAAAACCGUCAAGUUGCAGAUUGUUAGUGAUCCUUGAAAAUGGAGAGCAACAUGAUGGUGAUAUUUUAAUAAGAGCAGAUGGAAUAUGGUCAGAAGUGCGUUCAAAACUCUUUGGGCGGCAAGAAGCAAAUUACUCGGGUUUCACAUGCUAUAGUGGAUUAACAAGCUAUGUGCCCCCAUAUAUUGAUACCGUUAGAUAGGGUACUUCAUUCCCAAAUAAAAUGUUGGGACAAUGUUAUAAACUGUUCUACUAUUUAAAGUUUCUGUUUUGGUGAUUACAUGAAGGUAUCGGUGUUCUUGGGCUUGAACCAGUACUUUGUUGCUUCAGAUGUUGGCCAUGGCAAGAUGCGGUGGUAUGCUUUCCAUGGGGAACCCCCUUCAAGUGACCCUUUCCCAAAAGGUAAGAAGAAUAGGCUUUUGGAUCUCUUUGGUAAUUGGUGUGAUGAACUGAUUGCACUCAUAUCAGAAACAUGAGAACAUAUGAUUAUACAGAGGUGAUGCAGCACAUCCAAUGCAACCAAAUCUUGGUCAAGGAGGGUGUAUGGCAAUAGAGGUUGUUCAUUUGUAGUUUACAACUUCCAAAUAAAAUGUAUUUCCUUGAGUAUAUACAAUUCAGGCAGCAUUAAUAUAUAGUGCUACAUGGAUAAACAUUAUCUAAUACCUAAAAUCUUUAUUUAUUUUUAUUAAUCUGCCUUAAUUUCAAUUUCAUUCCUCUAACCAAAUCUUUAUUUAUUUUUAUCAAAAUUGAGUGCUUUUUCUUAUGCAUCAAUAUAGGCCUCUGAUUUUGUGCCAAAAGUUGUGGAUUUAGCAGCCAGAGAAUUAAUAGCAAUUGCAUCACCGGGACAAGGUUUAAUCUGGGUUGCUUUUUUUCUCUUGCUGUGAAUCCUGGUAUGUGCCAAAUUAAAUAUAGGCUUCCUGCAAUGACAGUUACACAGGUACAGCUUGACCAUGCCAAGACAUCCACGGAGUCUGUAAUUGUAAUGAAUUUAGAGUCCAGAAUGAUUGCAUCAGAGAAUAUAGAAAGGCAGGUAUUGAGUUAUGGAGAAAGUGUCUAGGAAUUCGUCCUGGAGUUAUGGAUGGGGCCAUCAGUAUAUCUGCUGUUCAGGUUUGUUUUCAAUAUAAAUGACUAAAUCAAACUAAAAUCAGAAUGAUCCCCAUGUUAAAUGUGAAAAAUAAAAUAACUGAAUUUGGGCAGAACGCAUACUGGGUGAAUGAAAUGAUAAGGGGGAUUAUUAUAUGUGAAUAAGUAUUCUUCUCUACCAAGUUUGAUAGGGAGCAUCUCAUUUUCAUUAUUAAUUCCAUGGACAUUUGUACGACGAGGCAAACUUUUAUAUGACAAUGCAGUGGUUAUGCAAUGCUGAUAAAUCCUCUCACAACCCUCGAUUAAGAUUUUGAUUGCUAGAUAAAAAAUGAAACCCUUUCAUUAACCCAACAAUGUCUUGAAACCACCCCAUUUGGAAAAUAACCUUAUUGCUUCUUGGUCUGCAAAAUAUCAUGGCAGAUGCAAGUUUCUUUGUUGGAGUCAUAGGCAACAUCAUCUCAAUUCUCAUGUUUCUUUCUCCUGUGUAAGCUCUAAGGUAUUAUUUGGGCAACAUCUUUCUCCUGUUCCUGCUCAACAUAAAUUAACAAAUGUCAACAUAAACUUAUAAAAGUUGAUGACCCAUCAGUAUUAUUUUUUAAUCUAAAUUACAGUUUUACCUGGAUAAUUUGGGUAAUAUAGGUUCGUAAUAAAUGUCAACACACCGAUUAGAUUAGUGAAGUAAAACUCUAAUUCUGAUCACAGAAUAAUACUUUUAGUGUAUUUAAAUUUUGUCCAUAUUCCAAUAUAUUUUCUAUUUUUUUCCAAAUUAAAAAAUUGUUUUGUGCUAUUAUCAUGUUUCUUAUCUUUUUUUUUGGUAUACUCAUUUACCUUGCUUUUACUAUAAGAAAAAUAGACUAAUUCAAAUUAUUAGUUUCUUUCCUUCUUCAUAUGAGCUAAUACAGUGAUACUGUAGACUUUUUUGUAUGUGUGUAUGUUUUUUCUUCUUCUUUUAGGUUGCUUUAGCAUUGAUUAUUCAUGGAAGAACAUGAUUUAUCCCUGUCUUCAAAUACAUGUUUUAUCUCUGGUUCGACCCCACCAGAAACUUCCACACUUAUUCUAUCAUUUGGAAGCACCAGCACAUCAUGUAGGUGAUAAUAAACAAAUAUUCAAAAUACAAAUUUUUGUUUAUUAGUAAAUAGUCUAUCAACUAAUAUUGCAGAGUUCACUUUUCAUUGCUUAAUUUGCAUUCUAGAUUAUAAUAUAUCUCAUAUUUAUUGCUACUGGAUGAUACAUAAAUUAAACAAAAGGAUGCAGACCUACGUUUUAGAAAAUAAAGAAGCACAGAUCUACGGAAGAUUUCUCAAGCCUUCCUUACAUUUGCACAUUGCUUAAUUGUUCCUUAUGGACUUACUAUGGAAUCAUAAAGGCUAGAGAGUACCUCGUGGCUACUGCCGAUGGCUUUGGCAUUGUGGUGGAGACAAUC
This is an RNA transcript of Glycine soja, 2996 nucleotides long. RefSeq lists it as uncharacterized. The record is from RefSeq and is a predicted model, not a curated record. The transcript is spliced from 8 exons. Lineage: Eukaryota; Viridiplantae; Streptophyta; Magnoliopsida; Fabales; Fabaceae.